This 917-nucleotide small RNA is filed under the name Pongo abelii (Sumatran orangutan). RNAcentral's name for it is "retained intron". The record is from RNAcentral. Lineage: Eukaryota; Metazoa; Chordata; Mammalia; Primates; Hominidae.
CCAGACCUUUUUGUGGACAGCUCUUUUGCAAAGCCGUCCAGCCUGAAUAUUCAAUCUGACAUAAUGACUUACAUUCACAAAUUCUAAAAUUUUAAAUAUUUAAAAGAAAUAUUUUCUCAGAAACAUAACUAUGUUUCUUCAACUUGUGUCCUGGUAGAAGUUUUCUAAGGGGCAAGGAAGGUGUAAUGAAGAGAGAAGCAUGAUUUAUUAUUAACUGCUAUUGUGUAAAUGCAUACUUCUAAAGUAUUGAAAAUAAUCUUGUUAAUCUUAUGGUUAUACCACUUACAGUCUGCAAUUUAUGAUUACACUAUGAAUUUGCUCUAAGAGGAAGAAGUUUACAGAGUAAAAGUAAACUUCAGUGAAGCAUUUUAUAAGAUUUGUCAAAAUAAUUGAGAUUUUAUUGUACAAACCAGAAAAAUAUAAGUUUCAUUUUACCCAGAAUUAUGGAUGUCUUUUUAGGUGAAUGCUUGCAAUGAAGUUUAUGAAUUAAAGAAGAAAGUCAUGGAAAGGCUGGAGGACCUUUGCAAGAAUGUGGAACUGCUGAGUGCAAAGCUAAGGAUGUAUCAAAUGGAGGCAGAGGACACCGACUCUCACAGUUCUGAGGAAAUAGAUACGGAAGAGAUGGAGGCCCUGCUUCCUCAGGCCCCAGCAUCCUUUUUAGCGCAGAAGUCUCCUCCCCGCAAUACAGCAUGGAAACGUGCACUGAGGAUUUUCAUCAUGUUUUAUGUCCUCACCAUCACUGGACUUUUAUGUUACAUACUAUUUUUUGGUGCUACAUUUCUCUUUGAAAGGGUGCUUCUGAGAAUGCUUGGGUACCGCACCACAUGGGACCUACGGGAGAUGAGAGAGCCUUUCUUGAAUUUGGAAGUGGAAGCCUUGUUACCCUCCUAAAGAUACAGAAGUUACUGUCACCCUAC